RNAcentral lists this ribosomal RNA (511 nucleotides) under uncultured bacterium. RNAcentral's name for it is "bacterial SSU rRNA". It matches the Rfam family "Bacterial small subunit ribosomal RNA", at positions 15 to 518 of the family's 1533-position model. The record is from RNAcentral.
GAUCCUGGCUCAGGAUGAACGCUAGCGACAGGCUUAACACAUGCAAGUCGAGGGGCAGCAUAGAAGUAGCAAUACUUGGUGGCGACCGGCGCACGGGUGAGUAACGCGUAUGCAACCUACCUAUCAGAGGGGAAUAACCCGGCGAAAGUCGGACUAAUACCGCAUAAAACAGGGGCACCGCAUGGUGAUAUUUGUUAAAGAAAUUCGCUGAUAGAUGGGCAUGCGUUCCAUUAGGUAGUUGGUGAGGUAACGGCUCACCAAGCCGACGAUGGAUAGGGGAACUGAGAGGUUGGUCCCCCACACUGGUACUGAGACACGGACCAGACUCCUACGGGAGGCAGCAGUGAGGAAUAUUGGUCAAUGGGCGGGAGCCUGAACCAGCCGAGUCGCGUGAAAGGAAGAAGGAUCUAUGGUUCGUAAACUUCUUUUGCAGGGGAAUAAAGUGCAGGACGUGUCCUGUUUUGUAUGUACCCUGAGAAUAAGGAUCGGCUAACUCCGUGCCAGCAGCGGC